UAGAGUUUGAUCAUGGCUCAGGAUGAACGCUAGCGGCAGGCCUAAUACAUGCAAGUCGGACGGGAUUGCAGUACAGCUUGCUGUACUGCAUGAGAGUGGCGCACGGGUGCGUAACGCGUGAGCAACCUGCCCAUAUCAGGGGGAUAGCCCGGAGAAAUCCGGAUUAACACCGCAUAACACAGUAUUUCCGCAUGGAUUUGCUGUUAAAUAUUUAUAGGAUAUGGAUGGGCUCGCGUGACAUUAGCUUGUUGGCGGGGUAACGGCCCACCAAGGCGACGAUGUCUAGGGGCUCUGAGAGGAGAAUCCCCCACACUGGUACUGAGACACGGACCAGACUCCUACNGGAGGCAGCA
Molecule: ribosomal RNA, 353 nt
Filed under: uncultured Flavobacterium sp. FR043
Lineage: Bacteria; Pseudomonadati; Bacteroidota; Flavobacteriia; Flavobacteriales; Flavobacteriaceae
Description: bacterial SSU rRNA
Rfam family: Bacterial small subunit ribosomal RNA
Source: RNAcentral